RNAcentral lists this ribosomal RNA (254 nucleotides) under uncultured bacterium. RNAcentral describes it as "partial 16S ribosomal RNA". It matches the Rfam family "Bacterial small subunit ribosomal RNA", at positions 524 to 776 of the family's 1533-position model. The record is from RNAcentral.
UACGUGGGAUGCGAGCGUUAUCCGGAUUUACUGGGCGUAAAGAGUUCGUAGGUGUUUGGGUACAUCUUGUUUCAAAGCCCGGGGCUUAACCCCGGAAAGGGAUGAGAUAUGGCCUGAAUCGAGUUUGCUAGGGGAUACCGGAACUCAUAGUGUAGCAGUGAAAUGCGUUGAUAUUAUGAGGAACACCGAGAGCGAAGGCAGGUAUCUGGGGCAAUACUGACACUCAGUGAACGAAAGCUAGGGGAGCGAAAGGG